CGGGAGGCAGCAGUGGGGAAUAUUGCACAAUGGGCGCAAGCCUGAUGCAGCCAUGCCGCGUGUAUGAAGAAGGCCUUCGGGUUGUAAAGUACUUUCAGCGGGGAGGAAGGUGUUGUGGUUAAUAACCUCAGCAAUUGACGUUACCCGCAGAAGAAGCACCGGCUAACUCCGUGCCAGCAGCCGCGGUAAUACGGAGGGUGCAAGCGUUAAUCGGAAUUACUGGGCGUAAAGCGCACGCAGGCGGUCUGUCAAGUC
RNAcentral lists this ribosomal RNA (255 nucleotides) under Salmonella enterica subsp. enterica serovar Infantis. RNAcentral's name for it is "partial 16S ribosomal RNA". It matches the Rfam family "Bacterial small subunit ribosomal RNA", at positions 342 to 589 of the family's 1533-position model. RNAcentral also lists the same sequence under 2 other names. The record is from RNAcentral. Lineage: Bacteria; Pseudomonadati; Pseudomonadota; Gammaproteobacteria; Enterobacterales; Enterobacteriaceae.